RNAcentral lists this unclassified non-coding RNA (266 nucleotides) under plant metagenome. RNAcentral's name for it is "partial contains small subunit ribosomal RNA, internal transcribed spacer 1, and 5.8S ribosomal RNA". The stretch from base 1 to 54 matches the Rfam family "Eukaryotic small subunit ribosomal RNA", at positions 1778 to 1831 of the family's 1831-position model. The record is from RNAcentral.
GGAAGUAAAAGUCGUAACAAGAUCUCCGUUGGUGAACCAGCGGAGGGAUCAUUACCGAGUUUACAACUCCCAAACCCAAUGUGAACCAUACCAAACUGUUGCCUCGGCGGGGUCACGUCCCGGGUGCGUCGCAGCCCCGGAACCAGGCGCCCGCCGGAGGGACCAACCAAACUCUUUCUGUAGUCCCCUCGCGGACGUUAUUUUUACAGCUCUGAGCAAAAAUUCAAAAUGAAUCAAAACUUUCAACAACGGAUCUCUUGGUUCUG